This 658-nucleotide ribosomal RNA is filed under the name uncultured Streptococcus sp. RNAcentral's name for it is "bacterial SSU rRNA". It matches the Rfam family "Bacterial small subunit ribosomal RNA", at positions 28 to 669 of the family's 1533-position model. Lineage: Bacteria; Bacillati; Bacillota; Bacilli; Lactobacillales; Streptococcaceae. The record is from RNAcentral.
GACGAACGCUGGCGGCGUGCCUAAUACAUGCAAGUAGAACGCUGAAGACUUUAGCUUGCUAGAGUUGGAAGAGUUGCGAACGGGUGAGAAACGCGUAGGUAACCUGCCUAUUAGUGGGGGAUAACUAUUGGAAACGAUAGCUAAUACCGCAUAAUAGUGUUUAACACAUGUUAGAGACUUUAAAGAUGCAAUUGCAUCACUAGUAGAUGGACCUGCGUUGUAUUAGCUAGUUGGUGGGGUAACGGCCUACCAAGGCGACGAUACAUAGCCGACCUGAGAGGGUGAUCGGCCACACUGGGACUGAGACACGGCCCAGACUCCUACGGGAGGCAGCAGUAGGGAAUCUUCGGCAAUGGGGGCAACCCUGACCGAGCAACGCCGCGUGAGUGAAGAAGGGUUUCGGAUCGUAAAGCUCUGUUGUAAGAGAAGAACGUGUGUGAGAGUGGAAAGUUCACACAGUGACGGUAACUUUCCAGAAAGGGACGGCUAACUACGUGCCAGCAGCCGCGGUAAUACGUAGGUCCCGAGCGUUGUCCGGUUUUAUUGGGCGUAAAGCGAGCGCAGGCGGUUUAAUAAGUCUGAAGUUAAAGGCAGUGGCUUAACCAUUGUUCGCUUUGGAAACUGUUAAACUUGAGUGCAGAAGGGGAGAGUGGAAUUC